UAUUUAAGUAGUUUAAUAAAAAUAAUGAUUUGUGAUGUCAUUGAUAUAGAGAUAUCUUAAAUAA
RNAcentral lists this transfer RNA (64 nucleotides) under Photinus pyralis (common eastern firefly). Its description in RNAcentral is "tRNA-His". The record is from RNAcentral. Lineage: Eukaryota; Metazoa; Arthropoda; Insecta; Coleoptera; Lampyridae.